CAGAACCUGCUGGGGCCGAAUCGCCCCCGAUUUGCAGCAGAGAUAAGGAGGUCGCAGCCAUGGCGGAUGGACAACAAACAGCGCUUUAUCUGCACCGCCACCCGCAGUCCACGAUCAAUAUGUGGUCAUCGCUGCUCCGUCCUGCAGGAAGGAUUUGUGAGCUGAGACACUCACGUCCCCCCAGUUCCUGCCUCAGGAGUCCCCAGGUCACACAAGCAGGGAUACGGAAGAAAGAGGAAAAACACUCAAACAGAGUUCACUCCUCAGAGCUACGGUUGUGUGUGCUUUCCUGGAGGCCUGGCAGGAAAACAGACCAAAAGAAAGGGAAAAAAAAAGGCUGGUGCUGGAAACAUCUGGAUUUUUGUAUGUGCAUGGCACCUUGGGAGAGUCUGUUUGUGUUCAUCCAGUAAAUCCAAUACUUCUCCCUGAAAUAUAUGGGAGUGGGAAGUAUGUAUUAAAGAUAACUAUUCCUGUUUAAA
Molecule: long non-coding RNA, 479 nt
Filed under: Gallus gallus (chicken)
Lineage: Eukaryota; Metazoa; Chordata; Aves; Galliformes; Phasianidae
Source: RNAcentral